Macaca mulatta (Rhesus monkey) is the source of this 1039-nucleotide long non-coding RNA. NCBI's taxonomy places the organism in Eukaryota, Metazoa, Chordata, Mammalia, Primates, Cercopithecidae. The record is from Ensembl.
AUUUUCGCCAAAGGCUUGAGUACCUGACUUUCCAUGUAGUGACUGUCUAUCCUCCCUCUUUCUUUCAGUAUAAAAGGGCCUGUCUCUCUGAGAACAUGGCAUUUACUUUUUCUUAAGACAUGUUUAGGAGACAAUAUGAAGAAAUCAUCGCUAUGAAGCCAGCAGAAUUGUACUUGAAGUAAUCUCAUCUAUUGUUUGGGGACUGAUUAGAUGCCCUCUGACUACCUUGAUUCAAGGAAUGAGAAGACGUGCACAAAUAACUGUGGCACGAAUCAGGAAGUGAUGCUAUAUAUAUGAGGAGUUUGGAACAACUAGUUGUGGCCUGAAGAAUCAAGUCCCAGUGAUGACCGUGUGUGAGUAUGGGUAGAGGCAAACCCCAUCACUACUUCUAGAAAUACAACUCAAAGGGUGUGUUGGGCAAUAGUCCUAUUUGAAAGGUAGUCCUUUAUUUAAAAUUGGUAAUUCAUAUGAUCAUACUUACAUUUAUGAGUUUGUGUACAUAAAACCUUUAAAAUGAAUUAACCUGUUUCCUACCUAUGGAGUAGAUUGAAUCAUGCUUUAUUUUUUUUCUGUUGAGAAUGUGAUAUAACAUCACAGUCUGUCAGUUUCGUAUUUAUUGGGGGAAUGUUUUCAGAUCAAUCUUUCCUCACUGACUUGAAAACACAUUUACUUUUUAUUUCUUGAACUCCACUUCAACCAAAAAAGUCUCUCAUGCUGACUCAGCAUACAAAGCUACAUUUUAUACCUGUCAGGCCACAUAUAGAUUUUUAUAAGGUGAACAAUGGUUGUAUUUAAGUACUGAUGUAGUAAUCUUGAAAUCUUCUGGCAGUAUCCUUUGGAAACUGAAUCCAUAAAUUUUAUUCGUAUUAAAUGUUUCUAAUGGGAGUUGACAAAUAGUUGAAUGGGAUAGCUUUUUCUUUGCACUUGGCAAAGAGAGAGGGAAGAAAAAGUCCCCAUUAUACAAUGAGAAAUGCAUUAAUGCUCAAGCCCAUUCAUUAAUCUCAAUUUUGUACAAAAAUAAUUUAAAACCUUUAACAAC